Long non-coding RNA from Triticum aestivum (bread wheat), 1597 nucleotides. RefSeq lists it as uncharacterized. The record is from RefSeq and is a predicted model, not a curated record. The transcript has 4 exons. NCBI's taxonomy places the organism in Eukaryota, Viridiplantae, Streptophyta, Magnoliopsida, Poales, Poaceae.
CGGACACGGACCGCGAAACGCUCCCAUGUAGCCUGGCGGCGAAACCCGGCGGCCGCCCAAUCCCCGCCGCGCAGCUUGCCGCUGCGUUCGACGAGGGAGCCGGGGCACGGCAAGCCUGCCCCCCUAUAGAGAGACUGGUUCGGGGAUGCGGGCCAGUGGCGCGGCAACGUCGUGGGUGGUGGGGCAGACGCGCAUCUCUAGGACGACCCGGACGCCGCCGCCAUCCCAGCGCUCCUCGACUCCCGCUGCGACGGCGAGCAGGUCGACGCUCAAGCGCCUCCUCGUCCCCAUCUCGCGGGGAUUCUACGUCGCCCACCGCUUCCUGCAGGCGGUCAAGAACGUGCCGGCAUAGUCGCUUGAGAUGAAGAAGCUCGUCCACCUCUAACCGUUCCACCACGCCGAGAAGUUUAAAUCGCCGUGUAAGUGAAGGCGUAUUUCUCCUUCACGCCUUCGACGUCAACCCCCCUCCCCUUGGUGUAGUACUGUUUAAUCAGGCAGACCUGUUCUGGCCCACAAUACUAUUUCUCUUUUUUCUAAAAUCCAGGAAAGCAUUAUGUUUCGAAAGAUUCAAGGACGUUCAAGGAGUGACCAAAACCAUUGAAGACUUUGCUGAGCGAGGCAAGCAAUCUACUUUGAUCAUGUUGAACCCAUAUUUGCAUUACACUUAGAAUUAUUUUUCAUGCAUAAAGUAUUGUUUACUAGUAUUGCUAUGUUAAGUAAAUUAGCUAGGGUUUAGCUAUGCCCUAUGUCCUUGAUAUUGACACACCUUUGACAUUCUUAUGCUAAGUAAAUUAGCCAGGGUUUAGCUAUCCUCUAUGUGUUUGAUAUUGACACCCUCCUUUGACAUUCUUAAUGCCCCUCCUUUCUAACCAGGCAGUGGUCACAAAUAAAUGUGAGUCAUAUGUGCAAGUUUAAUAGUAAUGCUUAGCCAUGCUAGUCGCGUAAAUCAUAGGACUUGGGAAGAAUCUUUAUUACUCAUAAAUGUUUUACAAAAACCAAGGGUGUCACUAAUGCCCAUGGGAUGGCUCUGAAAAUAAAGUUUUACAAAAUGGAGAUGAAGUGGAGAUUUAGUAAGGUGAUUGUGAUCUUGACGAGAUAGUCAAAGAUGUUCGGUGGAUUAUGAAAAUUUAUGUCUAGUAAAUGAGCAUGGUGGUUAUUAUAUUGGCGGAUAAAUGGAUCUUUAAUAAGCUUAAAGCAAUUUGGAUUUAGUUAGGAGAUUAUGAUCUUGAACCAAAUUUAAUGGUGGAUUAUUGAGAUUUUGAUGCAUUUAUUUAGUUCAUUGUGAUCUUGAGGAGAUAGUCAAAGAUGUUCGGUGGAUUAAUUAAUCUUGGAAAAUUUGGAUUUAGUUAGGUGAUUGUUAUAUUGAACCGUAUUUCAUGAUGGAUUAGGUGAUUGUGACAUGCUCACAUACUAAAAAUCCAUUUAUCCACCACUAUAAUAACCAACAUGCUCACCUACUAGAUGUAAAUUCAUAUAAUCUAUGGAACAUCUUUUACUAGCUCAUCAAGAUCCCAAUCACCUAACUAAAUCCAACCAAAGCCUCAUAAUCCACCAUAAAAUUUGGUUAAAAGAUCGCAAUCACCUACCAAAAUCCAAA